RNAcentral lists this ribosomal RNA (253 nucleotides) under uncultured bacterium. RNAcentral's name for it is "partial 16S ribosomal RNA". It matches the Rfam family "Bacterial small subunit ribosomal RNA", at positions 524 to 776 of the family's 1533-position model. The record is from RNAcentral.
UACAGAGGUCUCAACCGUUGUUCGGAAUCAUUGGGCGUAAAGGGCGCGUAGGCGGUUGUGUAAGUCGGAUGUGAAAUCUCAGGGCUCAACCCUGAAACUGCAUUCGAUACUGCGUGGCUAGAGUGCUGGAGAGGAGACUGGAAUUUACGGUGUAGCGGUGAAAUGCGUAGAUAUCGUAAGGAAGACCAGUGGCGAAGGCGAGUCUCUGGACAGUUCCUGACACUGAGGCACGAAGGCCAGGGGAGCAAACGGG